UAAACCAUCAAUAUUAUGAUUUAAAGGGAAGUGAAUCAUUCAUUUUGCAUUGUAUUGUGUUUCUGAGUUGUGUAACAGUUUGCACAUCUGUAAAAUCAUUAUUCAAAGUUGUUUCAUCACUCAAUACAGUUGUUGCAUCACUUGCUACCAAAUCUGGGUUUAAAACCACCAAUUUAGAAGCAUUUUUCUAGUGCAAUAUUGAUGAAAGUUUCUGCAUUUUUGGCAAUUGUUAUUGUCAUUUGAUGAAUCUGGAUGUUUCAGUGCUUUCUUCACAUUUGAGCUAGUUUAUUUUACCAUUCCAAACUUGUUUGCACUGUUCAUUUGGUCAAAAUUGAACUACUAUGCAAACUCACUUCCUAAACCAUAAAUUUUGCAUAAAUGUGGAAGUCAACCAGUGAAAUUUUGCUGCAGUGUAUUUCUUGGGUGUUUGAGUGUUUUUACACCUUCUAAUUGAUGAUAUAAACUUGCUUGCACCAUCAAUUAACCUUUCCAAACACUGCCAUACAAUUUUCAGUUUGAAAGCACCAUUUAAAGUGUCAUUUUCUAGUGCAGUUUGACCAUUUUGGUGCUGUUUUUUGCCAUAACAAACUCAGAUUUCUGUAAUAUGGUCAUGACCACCUAAUGUAGACUUAUUCUAAAGUAUGUAAACAUCCUUAGAAUUAAAGGAAAAUCAUCAAAAACAGCACCUAAUGUUCAACUCUACACCAAGAAAAGUACUUAGAAUUUGGUGGUUUUGUGACUCAAAUGAUGUAACAGUAACUCUGCAAUAAAUCUGAGCACUUAAGCAACUUUCUUGGAUGAUUUUAAACAUGUUUGAACUUUGAAUUAACACAAAACAAGACUGCUGCUCAAAAUUACCCUUCCCAAAAUUGACCCAAAAUGGAUGGUUUAAGAAGUGAUUUUGUUCAGAACUGAUUCUGACACUUUACUAACCCUUCGAACAGUUUAAAUCAUCCAAAUAUACUUGUUUAAACUCAAUUUUGGAUCAAAAGAGAACUGCAUCUCAUAUUCACCUUGCAAGUUCCAAAAAUUGCUCAAAUAUGGUGGUUUGACAUACUAAAUUGCAUAGAAAUGUAUCUGACCUCAAAUGGACUGUUUUAACAGUUUUAAAACAACAUUUAGGACUUGUUUAAACUGCCAAACACCUCAGAAUAACAGUGGCACGAAAAAUGACCCAUGAUAUCUCAAAAUUAGUGGUUAAGUUCUUAAAAAUCUGGUUUCACACUCUACAUAAUUCUAGUUUCCAAAACUGUCACAGUGUUUUCAGCCAAGUUUUGCACCGUACUUGAUAUCUUUGAUUGGUCUUUGCUUUAACAAAAUUUGCUAGCUUAAAUCCUGAGGCUAGAUAUAGUCAUUUAGGACCUUCUUGUGCAUUUGAUAGAACCAACC
RNAcentral lists this long non-coding RNA (1389 nucleotides) under Vigna radiata. RNAcentral's name for it is "long non-coding RNA (VRAD_LNC015935)". The record is from RNAcentral. Lineage: Eukaryota; Viridiplantae; Streptophyta; Magnoliopsida; Fabales; Fabaceae.